RNAcentral lists this ribosomal RNA (443 nucleotides) under uncultured bacterium. Its description in RNAcentral is "partial 16S ribosomal RNA". It matches the Rfam family "Bacterial small subunit ribosomal RNA", at positions 338 to 795 of the family's 1533-position model. The record is from RNAcentral.
CCUACGGGGGGCAGCAGUGGGGAAUAUUGGACAAUGGGGGGAACCCUGAUCCAGCGACGCCGCGUGAGUGAAGAAGUAUUUCGGUAUGUAAAGCUCUAUCAGUAGGGAAGAAAGAAAUGACGGUACCUGACUAAGAAGCCUCGGCUAACUACGUGCCAGCAGCCGCGGUAAUACGGAGGGGGCAAGCGUUAUCCGGAUUUACUGGGUGUAAAGGGAGCGUAGACGGCGAUGCAAGUCUGAAGUGAAAGGCGGGGGCCCAACCCCUGGACUGCUUUGGAAACUGGAUGGCUGGAGUGCAGGAGAGGUAAGUGGAAUUCCUGGUGUAGCGGUGAAAUGCGUAGAUAUUAGGAGGAACACCAGUGGCGAAGGCGGCUUACUGGACUGUAACUGACGUUGAGGCUCGAAAGCGUGGGGAGCAAACAGGAUUAGAUACCCUUGUAGUC